Molecule: ribosomal RNA, 895 nt
Filed under: delta proteobacterium FM3-D3
Lineage: Bacteria; Deltaproteobacteria
Description: bacterial SSU rRNA
Rfam family: Bacterial small subunit ribosomal RNA
Source: RNAcentral
CUGAGUAGAGUGGCGCACGGGUGAGUAACGCGUGGGUAAUCUACCCUUGGAUUUGGGAUAACUCUGCGAAAGUGGAGCUAAUACCGGAUAGUCUGGCUUUAAAUAAGAAGUCGGUAAAGGAUGCCUCUGCAUAUGCAUUCGUCCGAGGAUGAGCCCGCGUCUCAUUAGCUAGUUGGUAGGGUAAUGGCCUACCAAGGCAACGAUGAGUAGCUGGUCUGAGAGGAUGAUCAGCCACACUGGAACUGAAACACGGUCCAGACUCCUACGGGAGGCAGCAGUGGGGAAUAUUGCGCAAUGGGCGAAAGCCUGACGCAGCAACGCCGUGUGAGGGAUGAAGGCUUUCGGGUCGUAAACCUCUGUCGGAAGGGAAGAACGGGCAUUGGUCUAAUAGGCCUUUGUUUUGACGGUACCUUUAGAGGAAGCACCGGCUAACUCCGUGCCAGCAGCCGCGGUAAUACGGAGGGUGCAAGCGUUAUUCGGAAUUACUGGGCGUAAAGCGCACGUAGGCGGCCUUGUAAGUCAGGGGUGAAAUCCCACGGCUCAACCGUGGAACUGCCUUUGAAACUGCAGGGCUUGAAUCCUGGAGAGGGUGGCGGAAUUCCUGGUGUAGGAGUGAAAUCCGUAGAUAUCAGGAGGAACACCGGUGGCGAAGGCGGCCACCUGGACAGGCAUUGACGCUGAGGUGCGAAAGUGUGGGGAGCAAACAGGAUUAGAUACCCUGGUAGUCCACACCGUAAACGAUGGAUACUAGGUGUCGGGGACUUGAUCUUCGGUGCCGUAGCUAACGCGUUAAGUAUCCCGCCUGGGGAGUACGGUCGCAAGGCUGAAACUCAAAGAAAUUGACGGGGGCCCGCACAAGCGGUGGAGUAUGUGGUUUAAUUCGAUGCAACGCGAA